GAUGAACGCUGGCGGCGUGCCUAAUACAUGCAAGUCGAGCGAACGGACGAGAAGCUUGCUUCUCUGAUGUUAGCGGCGGACGGGUGAGUAACACGUGGAUAACCUACCUAUAAGACUGGGAUAACUUCGGGAAACCGUAGCUAAUACCGGAUAAUAUUUUGAACCGCAUGGUUCAAAAGUGAAAGACGGUCUUGCUGUCACUUAUAGAUGGAUCCGCGCUGCAUUAGCUAGUUGGUAAGGUAACGGCUUACCAAGGCAACGAUGCAUAGCCGACCUGAGAGGGUGAUCGGCCACCCUGGAACUGAGACACGGUCCAGACUCCUACGGGAGGCAGCAGUAGGGAAUCUUCCGCAAUGGGCGAAAGCCUGACGGAGCAACGCCGCGUGAGUGAUGAAGGUCUUCGGAUCGUAAAACUCUGUUAUUAUGGAAGAACAUAUGUGUAAGUAACUGUGCACAUCUUGACGGUACCUAAUCAGAAAGCCACGGCUAACUACGUG
Molecule: ribosomal RNA, 497 nt
Filed under: uncultured bacterium
Lineage: Bacteria
Description: partial 16S ribosomal RNA
Rfam family: Bacterial small subunit ribosomal RNA
Source: RNAcentral